This 2270-nucleotide unclassified non-coding RNA is filed under the name Centruroides sculpturatus (bark scorpion). RNAcentral's name for it is "uncharacterized LOC111616602, transcript variant X1". The record is from RNAcentral. Lineage: Eukaryota; Metazoa; Arthropoda; Arachnida; Scorpiones; Buthidae.
CGUAAUUCGCUUUUAUUUAUUAAAUGUCUAUUGUUAUUUUGUAGUGCGUUAUUUGUCGUAUUAGUGAGUUUAGAACGGAGGAAGAGGAAGUGUUUGUUUGUUAGAAAAAAAAACAAAAUAGCAAUCUUGUUUGUCACGUGAUCGGGUAUCCUUUAUAAAAGAGAUGACCUGGGAUGGACGGCGAGUUAGAAAUGAGAACGGAGAAGUUUGGAGUGGUUCUGCUGGUGUUUGUUGGUCACGCGUGGUGUAGGCAAUCGGAUGAAGACGAUACCAGGAGCGUACGAGUUAAUUACGGAGGAUGGAGACCCAUUAGGGGGAGGAAUCAUUACGCUAGGAAGCUGAACGACUCGAAAAUCGACCCCUCUCAAAGAAACUUAUACGUUGUAGUGCCGAGUGAAUUAGUUAACGCCGCGAAGGAGCCUGUUAGAGAGCAGCCAAAACACCAUCAAGAAGAUUAUCACGCGGCAGAAUCUCAAGUUAAGCAACUGAGAGCGUUGGAUGCCGAACCGUUCCCCGUUUCGGAACCCAUUACAGAUUUGAGGACUUUCAUUGGUGCUAAAUUCGAAGACCAGCACGUGCAAGAAUCUCAACAAAGUGAAGUCUUUCAUCAAACUAUUUUUCCUGGUAAACCACCACCGUUUAAUGGAGAACGAACCAAACUUCAUAAUAAUCACCCCGGUCAGAAAGAAGGAAACGAUCCAACGUUUGAAAUCAGUCAUCAAGGUGUAUUGCAGUUAAAACCCAUCGGUAUUAUUCCUAAUUUUCCAAAUACGGGACAUUUUCAACACGCGGAAGAUCUUAAUGUUCAAGAGAAUAAUCUUCACGGUUUAAGAGGAUUUAAACAAGAAGGAGUGGAAGUGGCACAGGAGCAACGUCCUCAUCCCAAUUUCCACAAAAAUGACCAUCACUUUGGAUUAAGAAUACGUAAUCAGGAGACAAAAUUAGUAGAGGAGAAGUUUAAACAACAGAAUUUUGCAGAUAACUCUGAGAGAAUUCAUCCUAACGCUGAAGGAUACGAAAAUAUUGAGUAUUUUGAAGGUCAUUCAAGUGUCCAUUCAAGUGAAAAGCGUUUACCUCCUAAACGCUAUCAUCCCUCAAUUCGUCCCAACUCUGCCAACCAGCAACUGUUUCAAUCUAACAAUGAACACCAAUCAUCUGUAGUUACUAACAUAGGUCAACAACCAUCUGUCGUUAAUGAUAGAGAGCAUCAAUCAUCUGUCCAUUUCCAGAAAACACUCAGCAGUCAGUUACAUUUUGGAGAAAAUACAGAACCGAAGGACCACUACGAGAAAGGCGAAACGCGAUUUAUUUCGCAGAUCGACAAAACUGUAAAUGCUCAUCCUUCUUCUCGUCCUUAUCCGUCCAGAGGCACAUAUUUUCCACCAUUAAUAAACCCGAACAUCAAUGUAGAGCCGAAUAACGCCGUGCCUUUUCAGCCUUCUUUUAGACCUUCCGUCGGCCCAGCCGUUCCUCAUGGUAUAAGACAAGAAUUUGUUUCUGCUCCUCAACCUCCGCAACAACCAUUGCCGAACUGUGCACCAAGGAUUAGCAACGAAAACCAUAAUCUUGAAAAUUCUUUAGAAGAGAUCACUGAACGAUACGAUGCAAACUUGCUGUUUCAACACGUUCCUCUUUCUCAAAAUGGAUUACUGCGAUUAAUAUCAGCUGGAGGCCCGUAUACUUUAUUCCUACCAUCAAACGAAGUAAUUUUGCGUUUGCCACAACCACUUUUACAAAAAUGGAAAAGAAAUCCUCAGGCAUUGAUGUUUAUUCUUCUAAAUCAUGCCGUUCAUGGAAGAGUUACACUUUCAGAUCUGCGUGAGAAAAGACUCGUGGAGUCCAAAUCAAACAAUGCACUCUUAUUUAUUAACGAUUACAGGAACGAAACAGUUACUAUCAACGGAAGAAGGAUAAUAACAGCUGAUAUACCAGGUCCACACGGAGGUGCCAUACAUAUAAUUGAUGGAAUUCUUCAUCCGCCGGCCGAUAAAGACAUAAUAGAUACCAUCACGGUCUGUGAUAGAUUUGAUGGUUUCCUUACUUUAGCAGAUGCUGCUGACGUUACGGGAUAUUUACGUGGAGCAAUGAUGCUCUGAUGAAGAUCGAAAAAGAGGACAUGGACAUUCUUAAAUCUAACAUCACUGCUCUUAGAGAAUUUCUCCUGUAUCAUAUUCUGGAAGGUGUAUAUUAUGGCGGCGACUUACUCGAUGGUCAAUAUUUACAAACUGCAUACCAAGAGCAUUCAGUUAAAGCUGGAAUUAGGGUCGAUG